CAAAAGUUGUGGAUAUGAAAAA
This 22-nucleotide small nuclear RNA is filed under the name Arabidopsis thaliana (thale cress). RNAcentral's name for it is "snRNA_10413". The record is from RNAcentral. Lineage: Eukaryota; Viridiplantae; Streptophyta; Magnoliopsida; Brassicales; Brassicaceae.